ACAAGCGGUGGAGUAUGUGGUUUAAUUCGAUGCAACGCGAAGAACCUUACCAGGGUUUGACAUCCUGCGAAUCUCCUGGAAACGGGAGAGUGCCUUCGGGAACGCAGUGACAGGUGGUGCAUGGCUGUCGUCAGCUCGUGUCGUGAGAUGUUGGGUUAAGUCCCGCAACGAGCGCAACCCUCGUCCUAUGUUGCCAGCACGUAAUGGUGGGAACUCAUGGGAGACUGCCGGGGUCAACUCGGAGGAAGGUGGGGAUGACGUCAAAUCAUCAUGCCCCUUAUGUCUUGGGCUUCACGCAUGCUACAAUGGCCGGUACAGAGGGCUGCAAUAUCGUAAGAUGGAGCGAAUCCCACAAAGCCGGUCUCAGUUCGGAUUGAGGUCUGCAACUCGACCUCAUGAAGUUGGAGUCGCUAGUAAUCGUGGAUCAGCAACGCCACGGUGAAUACGUUCCCGGGCCUUGUACACACCGCCCGUCAAGUCAUGAAAGUCGGUAACACCCGAAGCCGGUGGCCUAACCUUUUGGAAGGAGCCGUCGAAGGUGGGAUCGGUGAUUAGGACUAAGUCGUAACAAGGUAACC
Molecule: ribosomal RNA, 578 nt
Filed under: uncultured bacterium
Lineage: Bacteria
Description: bacterial SSU rRNA
Rfam family: Bacterial small subunit ribosomal RNA
Source: RNAcentral